GAUGAACGCUGGCGGCGUGCCUAAUACAUGCAAGUCGAGCGAACAGACGAGGAGCUUGCUCCUCUGACGUUAGCGGCGGACGGGUGAGUAACACGUGGAUAACCUACCUAUAAGACUGGGAUAACUUCGGGAAACCGGAGCUAAUACCGGAUAAUAUAUUGAACCGCAUGGUUCAACAGUGAAAGACGGUUUUGCUGUCACUUAUAGAUGGAUCCGCGCCGCAUUAGCUAGUUGGUAAGGUAACGGCUUACCAAGGCGACGAUGCGUAGCCGACCUGAGAGGGUGAUCGGCCACACUGGAACUGAGACACGGUCCAGACUCCUACGGGAGGCAGCAGUAGGGAAUCUUCCGCAAUGGGCGAAAGCCUGACGGAGCAACGCCGCGGGAGUGAUGAAGGUCUUCGGACCGUAAAACUCUGUUAUUAGGGAAGAACAGAUGUGUAAGUAACUAUGCACGUCUUGACGGUACCUAAUCAGAAAGCCACGGCUAACCACGUG
Molecule: ribosomal RNA, 497 nt
Filed under: uncultured bacterium
Lineage: Bacteria
Description: partial 16S ribosomal RNA
Rfam family: Bacterial small subunit ribosomal RNA
Source: RNAcentral